Molecule: long non-coding RNA, 2024 nt
Filed under: Bemisia tabaci
Lineage: Eukaryota; Metazoa; Arthropoda; Insecta; Hemiptera; Aleyrodidae
Description: lncRNA ENSASIAIIG008707
Source: RNAcentral
UAAUGGUUUAUCUGAUGUUCGCCCUCAGGGAGGUGACAAUCACGGGCUAGGAACCAUUCGAGUUGAUGAAGCUCAAGAGAGCAAUAAGCCUGCAAAUAUGGAAAAAAUCACCCAGAAGAACGCUACAUCAGACAGGAUGGAGAUACACUUUUAUAAUACGACAUCCGUGGAAGAAAGCACCACGAGAAAACACGCAAAAGAAGCGGAAGCACUUUCAAAUGCCCCCAAGCUUGCCGUCAAAACCUUUCAUAUUCCUGUCGCUGAUAAGGAAAAUGCGACAUUAGGGACCAGCAAUGAACCUUACGGAGUAAAAUCAAAGGCAGACAACGCGAGGAAACUUUUGCAACUUAUGAACUCAGGACUAAUGGUCAAGGAUACGUAUGGCGGUCCGAAGGCACUUCAAACAGCGGACAACACAGGGCAUCUUCAUAAUGAAUUGCUCCUGAAGCUUGUGGACAAAUUAAAAGAUCAUGAAUCCGAUCGAGAUGAGACGGGCAAAGGUUCAAGAGAGUCGAAAAGUUUCAAGGGGUCGAGGGACGGUUUGAACUCCAAGGCAGGGGUGAACGCGGAGGACUUGAGCGGCAAUUUCAGCGCUGCCCUUUACUCCUGUCUCAUGGACUGGGCCUUCACCUACGAGGGGUUCACUUGCGCUCAAGAUGGGUUCACGACCGUCAUGAACGAUGCUCUGGCCGCGGAGAAAAUUUAUAUUUUUCCCGGAAUCUCCCUGACCAGACACGGCGUUUCAGGCACGGAUGAGAGUGAAGACGAAAACCAGAUGAAAUUGAAAGAAGUCAUGCCAGUGGGUGACUGGCUGGGAAAAAUGUUGCAGAAAAUAGGAACGUUCUUUCGUACGUAUUCGUUGGAUGUCAGCUUGGGAGACUUGGACCUCGAUCUAGAAGGACGUGGACACCACCACUACCGCCGCGUGUUCCCGAUCGUGGUGACGACGUACAUGAUCAUGUCAACGUUUCUGAUCCCGAUGGGCUUCCAGUUCAUGGCCAUGCUCGGCGGCAAGGCCCUCGUCCUCAGCAAACUGGCCUUCCUCUGGAGCUUGCUCGGGGUGUCGCGCCGUAUUUUCCCGUACCCCUACCCGGACGGCUAUGCACCGCCCCACCACGACUUCCAUCAACCAGGGCUAUAUCGCGCUGCCCAUCGAAAGGAUCAUAUCCGCAGUGAAUUCUGCCGUGCUAAGGAAGAACGCCGUAUGAACAUUGGAGAGUUGCCAAAUUUCCCACAAUAAAAUAUUUAUUUUUGAAGAAACUUAUGAAUAAUUUUCCUUGAAAUUUUUAGGAACUUCAGGUGAAAUUGCGAACAAUAAUAUCUGAAAAAUUGGAGCGAAAAUAUUCAUAAGUUUUCCAGAAAAUUAGCGUUUUUCAGAUGAAAUUUGGCAACGCCUGAAAGCUCAUACGGCGUUUUUCCUCAGCAAGGCAGCAUUCCAUGGUCAUGCUCCGUUCUUCGAAGAUUUAAAGAGACUUCUUGCAGUCUCAACCGGGUCAGAUGUAAACUCAUUGAGAUAUUCAAGAGAUUCAACAAAAAUUGUAUCGGAAUCCCUCGCCGAGUCCACCCGCUGUAGAUGGAAGCUGCGAGUGGACCUGAAAAGGCGCCAUCCAGCUUCAGCUCUCAUUUGCAGCGUUCGAACUCAGCAUGAGACUGAACGUAUUCGACUUUCAAAGGUUUUUUUUUUGUGAAGGAAGGCAAAAUAGAAUAGUUUGUUGAACGAUUUAAGGGGCGGAAACAUAUAAUCAUUGCUCUGGAAAAUUUGUAAUUUACGAGACCUUGACCAGCAUUUGCAUGUGGACAAGAAGAGAAGAGUUGUAUUCGUUUUAGUGACUAGUGGGGGCUUUGAAAAAUUUUCGUUAAAAAAAACCAAACAACCACAAAAAACUGUUUGUAAAAUUUUUUAGAUGAAGAUUAUAAUCCAUAAUUGGGAGAGCCCCAUUUCAAUUUUCUUUGAUAGGCUUCAUCCGUACAUUCUUGUCGAAACAUCAAAUCUUUUUCUCACAAAAUUUAAAUAAAGGAAAGUU